UAGAGAAACUUCGGUUUCUUGAGAGUGGCGAACGGGUGAGUAACACGUAGAUGAUCUGCCUUGAAGUUGGGGAUAGCCUAUAGAAAUAUGGGAUAAUACCGAAUAAUCUCUUAUCACUAUGGUGAUUUGAUGAAAGGGGCUUCGGCCUCGCUUUAAGAUGAGUCUGCGGUCUAUUAGCUAGUUGGUAGGGUAAGAGCCUACCAAGGCGACGAUAGAUAGCCGGCCUGAGAGGGUGACCGGCCACAUUGGGACUGAGACACGGCCCAAACUCC
RNAcentral lists this ribosomal RNA (272 nucleotides) under unidentified marine bacterioplankton. RNAcentral's name for it is "partial 16S ribosomal RNA". It matches the Rfam family "Bacterial small subunit ribosomal RNA", at positions 70 to 339 of the family's 1533-position model. The record is from RNAcentral.